Molecule: ribosomal RNA, 478 nt
Filed under: Boana raniceps (Chaco treefrog)
Lineage: Eukaryota; Metazoa; Chordata; Amphibia; Anura; Hylidae
Description: partial large subunit ribosomal RNA
Rfam family: Bacterial large subunit ribosomal RNA
Source: RNAcentral
AACGGCCGCGGUAUCCUAACCGUGCGAAGGUAGCGUAAUCACUUGUUCUUUAAAUGAGGACUAGUAUGAAUGGCACCACGAGGGUUAAACUGUCUCCUUUUUUUAAUCAGUGAAACUAAUCUCCCCGUGAAGAAGCGGGGAUUCUUUUAUAAGACGAGAAGACCCUAUGGAGCUUUAAACAAGUUAACACCUGCUACUAAUCUUCACUUUACUGAACCACCACAUUAAGUAUAGCACCUCUGAUUAACAGUUUUCGAUUGGGGUGAUCAUGGAGCAAAAAUCAACCUCCACGACGAAAAGGAACACCUCCUUGAGCCAAAAGCUACAACUUUAAGCACUAAAAAACUAACGCACUUUGACCCAAUUCUUUGAGCAACGAACCAAGUUACCCUAGGGAUAACAGCGCAAUCCACUUUAAGAGCUCCUAUCGACAAGUGGGUUUACGACCUCGAUGUUGGAUCAGGGUAUCCCAGUGGUG